Molecule: small nuclear RNA, 108 nt
Filed under: Pan paniscus (pygmy chimpanzee)
Lineage: Eukaryota; Metazoa; Chordata; Mammalia; Primates; Hominidae
Source: RNAcentral
GUGCUCACUUCAGUAGCACAUAUACUAAAAUUUCGGAAGAUACAGGGAAGAUUAGCAUGACCCCUAUGCAAGGACGACACACAAAUUCGUGAAGUGUUCCAUAUUUUU